AUAAACAAUUAUAUGCUUUAUUAAAAGUUAGAAGCUUUUUGGGAUAUUUCUUU
Molecule: transfer RNA, 53 nt
Filed under: Xylobanellus sp. UPOL A00616
Lineage: Eukaryota; Metazoa; Arthropoda; Insecta; Coleoptera; Lycidae
Description: partial tRNA-Ser
Source: RNAcentral